This 9803-nucleotide long non-coding RNA is filed under the name Homo sapiens (human). RNAcentral's name for it is "HSALNT0251724". Lineage: Eukaryota; Metazoa; Chordata; Mammalia; Primates; Hominidae. The record is from RNAcentral.
UUUUCUGCCGCCCUCCUCUCUCUUCUUGCUUCAGAGCAACACCCCCACCCCCACCCUGUCACAUGAAUGUACAGUGACGUUAUUCAUAGAUCAACUUCAUUGAGCUCUGGCCAAUACGCUGCCAAUUAUUCUUUCAAAUAGCGUCUUCUCUGUGUUAUCAAAGCCUGAGUAAGAAAGCGGCAGAUCCUCUGGUUUGCCAGACAUACUUUUCUGGUUGCUCACAUCUCUAGUGUCACAACAGGAGCCAGGAAGAGGGGAAUUUGGACACAGAGGCACGGAGAGAAGAAGGCCGUGUGAUGAUGGAGGCAGAGGUUGGAGUGAUGUGGUCACAAGCCAAGGAACCCCAAGAACUGUGAGCCACGAUCAGAAGCCAGUGGAGAGGCACAGAACAGAUUCUCCCUCAGAGUCACCAGAAGGAACCAAUGCUGCCAACAUCUUGAUUUUGGACUUUUAGCUUCCAGAGCUGUGAGAGAAUAAAUUUCUGCCUUUUAAGUCCUCCAAUUUGUGGUGAUUUGUUCUGGAAGCUUUAGACAGUGCCACAGAGAGGAAAACUACGAGCAAAUGACACACUAAGAGUUGCAUUUGACCUGACACCAACAUGGUCUCCCGACCCCUCUGGAGAACACCAUGAGGCAUUAGUUUCUCCUCUCACCGAGGAGUGAACUGAACCCUGAGAGCCAAGCAACUCACCCAUGUCUCUCAGCUGCUGAGUGGCAGAACCAGGGUGCAAGCCUGUGUCUCUGGCUCUGAGACCCAUGCUCCACACAGCCCACCUCUUAUGGAUGGGGUGGAAAUGGGGUGGGAUGAGAGCAGGUAGGGAGAGGAGGGAAGAAGAAGGGGAAAGGGAAAUGGAGAGGGAGUGGGGAGAGUAGGAGGUAGAGACUGUUGGGGAGAGAGAAGGGAAGGUGGAGGGAAUAGGGGAAGAAGAUGAGAGAGUGAGGCAGCUCUAGGCAGUUCCCUCCCCCACUCAAUCUUAGCAAAGGACAGAAGCUCCCCACAGCAUCCCAGGGUACAAGGCCCCUUAGGUAAGUCACUGGUAAUCUUGGCAGGACUGGGUUCUAUGGAAGGGUGUAGGCAAAAGCCCCAGUAGGAUAGAUUUGGGGGAGAAUUGGAGAGAUCAAGAAUAAAUAACUCUUUCAAGGAUUUUUGCUGUAAAUGGGGACUGAAAACCAAGGUGGUAACUGGAGGAGUAUACGGAGUCAAGAGUGGAAUUUUUUUAACAUGGGAAAAAUUAAAGCAUGUUGGUAGGCUGUAGGGAGUGAACUAGCAGAGAGUAACAACAUGAUGAUGGGGGAGAGGAGAACCACUGAUGCGAUGCCCUAGAGUAGGCAAGAGCGGAUAGGGUCCACUGCGCAUGCACAAGGGCUGGCCAUCUUCCAUGGCAGCAGGAGGGGAGUCAUGUUGACACAGACUCUCUGGUGGUAGAAGACGUGCAGCUGGGGAAGUUCUGUUCUGGUUUCUUGUACUUUCUUAGUGGAGUCAUCAGAUGACAGCAAGAAUGAGGAAGGUGGUACCCCUGCAGCUUUGGGAGAGAGGAGGAGUGACACAGUCAUCCAGAUGAGUGGGGCAGUGGAGUGACUGGACUGUCAGGGUAAUACAUGCAUGUCCCUCCAAAAGCUGUUCCAAUGAUUCAGCCUGAACACACACACAAAGUGCUUAGAACAGUGCCUGACAUAACAAACACACAACAAAUAUUAGCUCAUAUUUUUUAUUACUCUUCCUAAAUUAUCUUAAUCUUCAAGAAUAACAUCACAGGGUGGACUGAAGCCCCAGGUGGUCUCCACUUUUAUGUUUCCUGGGAUCAACCCCUGGAAAACAGCCCCUUCAUCUGAAAACCAAUGGAAACUUUGCCUGCCCAGGACAUUUCCUUGCACAUGUCCAGAAAGGAGCCGAUCUGGAAGGCAGCCUUUGCUGGCAGCAGCCAUGGCAGCAGCACACUGUGCUCUGCUGAAAGGAGAGACCACUUAAAUGAGGUAGCUCUUUAUUGGUAAUGACAGUUCCCACUCACCUCGGGAUUUCUUCAGGACCUAGUGUGGCCCUUGUGCUCCCAGUUUCCAGUGACUUUAGGAUGAUGCCACAUGUGGUACAAAUAAUAAAGAAUGGGCCUGGACUGGUGGCUCAUGCCUGUAAUCCCAGCACUUUGGGAGGCCAAGGCAGGCAGAUCACGAGAUCAGGAGAUUGAGACCAUCCUGGCUAACAUGGUGAAACUCCAUCUCUACUAAAAAUACCAAAACAAAAUUAGCGGGGCGUGGUGGCGGGUGCCUGUAGUCCCAGCUACUCAGGAGGCUGAGGCAGGAGAAUGGUGUGAACCUGGGAGGGAGCUUGCAGUGAGCCGAGAUUGCCCCACUGCACUCCAGCCUGGGUGACAGAGUGAGACUCUGUCAAAAAAAAAAAAAAAAAAAAAAAAAAAAAGAAAGAAAAAAAAAAAGAAAAAAAAAAGAAAGAACAAACAGCUACAGAGUGUGCAGACUUGGGGGAUUUCUGUGCAGGGGUCCUUAUUGUAAACUUCCAGCCAUGAGAAUGGGUUAACUGAUGAAUAAAGGUAAAUCAUCCAUGUGGUCACAGGAGCAGGGUGACUGGGGAGAUGUUGGGGAAGAUGGUGCAAUGUACUGAACCAGGAGUCCAAAGGCUUGGGAUGUUAUCCUGGCUCUGCCACAGUGAAACAAGGCACCUUGAAUGAUUAAGAUUCCUUUUGGGUAAACAAGAAUGAUGAUGAGAAUGAAGAAGAUGAAGAUGGUGAUGAUAGCUUUACUCUGGCUCUAAUGAAACACAGUCCCUACAUUUCUGAACUCUGUGCUCCAAAAGGAUGGGGAUUGAAGGAGGCAAGAUUCCUGUGACAGCUGUCUUCUGGGUGCUCUCCCAUAGGCCCUCUCCAUUCUGGACUGCCUCUGUGGGCUUCCUUGCCCUCUGGCUCUAGACUGGAUUCAAUCAUGCAAGACUCCAGCUGGAGAUCAGAAGCCGGGAGGAGCAUGAGGUCAGAUAUUUAGAUGCUAAAUCUAAUGGCCCAUCUUCAGUACUGAAUUUACUAGGCUGUGAGCAUAAAUGGACAUUUGUGAUCACUCCCUCUUUGAAAUGGGUUUGUCUCUGGAUUUAGGGACUUCCUGCUACUACGGGCUUUCCUGCUCCCUCACUGACUUUUCAGAAUUAUUUUUUGAAUUGUCCUCAUUUCUCCAACCUCUCAGCCAGAGGUCUGAGGACCCCAGAGUUCAGAAUUCAGUCUAUUUUCUAUUUAUACUCAUUCCCUAGAUGAACGUAACCAUGGCUCAUUCAAAGCUCAGGACUUUAAGCAUUUAUACAUGCUGAAAAUUUCCAAACUUAUAUUUCCAGCCUGCACCUCCUCCUAUAUUCCUGACUUAUGUUUUCUUCUUAACACUUAUCACUAGCUGAUAUUCUAAAUAUUUUAUUUAUUUUCUCACAGACAAAUGUAAGCUAUACAAGGCCAGAGUCUUCUUUUAAAAACUUUGUACUAGGGAACAUUUCAAAUAUACAAUAAACCCCUGUAUCCAUCAUCAGCUACAACAGUCACCAAUUCCUGGCCACUCUUAUAUAACUUAUACCACCCCCUCCACCAGCAUCGGAUUAAUCUGCAGCAGAUCACAGCCAUCAUAUCAUUUAAUCCAUAAAUACCUUUAUAUAUAUCUCUAAAAGAUAAAGACACAUAAAAUACAGCCCUAGUAAUUCAUUACUAUCAUCAAAUAUCUAGUCAGUGUUCAAAUUUUCCUAGUAGUUUCAUAAACUUUUUUUUACAUACUAGCAUGUAGUUAGAAAAAUAAAUCGUUUAAAAAAUGAAAAACAAUUUUUACUGUAGUAAAUUAUACAAAACAUGAAAUAUACCAUUUUACCCAUUUUUAAGUGUAUAGAUCAAUACCAUUGACUACAUUUGCAUUGUUGUGCAACCAUCACCACCAUCUAUCUCCAGAGCUUUUUUUCAUUAUCCCAAACUGAAACUCUGUACCCACUGAACGCAUCAUUUUUUUUUUCUUGGAGACAGAGUCUGUCGCCCAGGCUGGAGUGCAGUGGCACGAUCUCAGCUCAUUGCAAUCUCCGCCUCUCAAGUUCAAGCGAUUCUCUUGCUUCAACCUCCUGAGUAGCUGGGACUAGGGAUGCCCGCCACCACGCCCGGCUAAUUUUUGUAUUUUUAGUACAAAUGAGGUUUUGCCAUGUUGGCCAGGUUGGUCUCGAACUCCUGACUUCAGGUGAUCCGCCUGCCUCGGCCUCCCAAAGUGUUGGGAUUGUAGGCGUGAGCCACCGCACCCAGCCAGUGAUUUUUAAAUAGUGAGUUUGUUUGUAUCAGAACAUGUAAGACUCAUAGAUUGCAUGUGCUUGAUAUCUCUUUUUAGUUCAUAGAUUUCCCUCUUUCUCUUUUUCACCCCUUUACAAUUUACUAUUGAGGAAAUUGGAUGUUUUGCUGUGGAUCUCACUGAUUGCACUGAUGUCAUUUAACAGAUUCCUCUGUAUUUCCUGCACACUGGUAGUUGGAUUGUGAAACUUCUUCAGAUUCAGGCUUGUUUUUUGUUGUUAGCCUGGCGUACUUUAUAGGCGGUGCUGCGUCAGAAGUCCCAGGGUGUCUUGUUGUCUCCCUUUUGGUGUGAGCUGCCAUUGAUGAUCAUGACCCAGAUCUUUUAAUUCAUUAGAGGGUUGCAAGAUGAUGAUAAUCUAUUUUUUUUCACUUAUGUGGAAUACACCUAUACCAGGAAACAUCCUAUCACCAACUAUGGAGUUACUUGGAGGCAUAGCUCAUUUAGGGACAGCUGGUUUUCGGAAUAAUACAUCUAGCAUCUUCAAAAUGCGACCACUGAAAAAAACAGGAGAGACAAAUUGAGUAGCUCCCAGGCUGAGGACUGGAAACAGUGCUGAGGUUGAGGACAGCCAGGCUACUGACAGCAAGCACAGAAGGUGCGGGGCAGAGGAGAGUCCUGCUUCUCUAACCCAGCUACUUGCGCUUUCCACUGGUCGGGGAUGUUGUGUGUGCUGGGGUUAUUUUAAGCCACACAGUGAAUGUGGUUCAUCUUCUGGGGGAUAUCAAUUUUACUUGAAGAGUGGGGGAAACGUUUUCUACACUCAAAUAAAUACAGAAACUUUAUGGAAUAAGGUAGAAAAAGCACAUGCAUUUUAAAGUGAAAAACAGAUUUUUCUCUUUUGCUGUAGGUCUUUUUAUGCAUGAUUUUCAGACCUCAGGGAUUUGUCUUCUAUCUUCUGCUUGUGGGAAGCGCUGCACCAGAACAUUGCUGUGGGUCUGUUCAGCCUGAAGGGCCACAGGCCGAGGAGACAGGCCAACUCUAGCCCCGGCAAGCAUGUCAGAGAAGCCGACUUGGCCUCCAGCACAGCACCCUGGGCCAGGAGCACAUUCUGGGUGUUGAGUGUACCCUGGACGACAUUGUUACAUGUGCUUUCCCAAAUCCACGGACUUCUGGCUGAUCCGGGGUUGCAAUAUGCACUGCACCACCAUCCUCUCUCUUGGAAAUUCCCUUCGGCUGGGAAAGAAAUGGAUGAUCAAGGGUCCAAUUAGAUAAACUCAUCCUCGCUGGCAGAUAAUGGCACCAAUGUGAUCAUCCUCCUAGAGGUAUUUUCAUCUUGGUAUGGAGCCUCCAGAGCUAUCUUUGCUUGAAAGAAUGAAACUUCAGGAAUGAAAGUUUGCACAUAAAGCAAGCCCAUGAGAAAGACAUUUCGGGAAAACUAGAAUCCUGUUAAGUUAUGGGAUUUUUUUCAAGCCACAUGGUUGAUAAGUAGUCUGACCAGGAUCCUGGAGCAACACAAGGAAGACAAGGACCCUUGAAGACAAGGCAGCCUUGAAACCAAAUGAAGCCCUGGGCCAGUGAGCAUGGCAAGAGGAAGACUGUUAAUUGCGAGAAAGCUGGGUCUUGAAGAUGAUUCCAUAUCAACAUACAGGGAGUUCCACCACUGAAUGGUCUAUCGGUUGGGAAUGCCAUCAUUUAUUUUCACCAGUGGGGAAGAAUUGGUAUUAAUAUCAAAACCACAGUACUGUCAUACCCAGCUAUAAUUUGCAAUGUUUAUAUGCCUGUACGAAUGAAUAAUUAACAGUUAAAUGAAUCAAUAUAUAUCUAUCUAUGUGUAGGAAUAUCUAAUCUAUAAUAUAUGCUCGCGUAAGUGGUAAUUAAUCUCUUUUUUGAGACAGGGUCUUUCUCUGUCAUACAGGCUGGAGUGCAAUGACAUGAUUAUGGACCUUCAGGGAUUGAGCAGCUCGACAUCCCAAGGAUCAAGCAAUCCUCCGGCCUCAGCCUACCAAGUAGCUGGGACUACAGCCAUUUGACACCCCACCCAGUUAAUUUUUGUUUUUUGUUUUUUUGUAAAGACAAGGUUUAGCCAUGUUGCCCAGGCUGGUCUGGAACCCCUGGGUUCAAGCAAUCCUCCCACCUCAGCUUCCCAAAGUGCUGGGAUUAUAGGCAUAAGCCACUGCACCCAGCAUAAAUAAUCUCUUAUUUGUUCAUCCAUGGUGUUGUCUUUAGUUUUUAAAAAUGGAUCCUUUUGUUAUUCUUUUAUAGCCCCAGAUUAAGAAUUUGUCCAAGUUUUGUAUAUUUUUUCAGUUAUUUCAAUAUCAAAGCCCAGCACAUCUUUAAAAUCACUUCUAUGUAUAGAUAUUAACCUUUUUGACAUUUGUGUUUUGGUAUUCCAUAUUUACUCAGUUCUCCUUUCACACCCUCCCUUUAGAAGAGGAGUAUGACCAUGGCAGGAUGGAGGGGUAGUGGCAGUAGGGGCCAUAGUAUGUUUUCUAUAUUUAUCCAGCAUAUUUAAAACAUGGUAUUCUAGCUUCAAGGGAGAACAUUGAACUCCCAUUUGGACAUGUUAAGUUGAAGAUGUCUGUUAGACACCCAAGAGAAUAUGUCAAGCAGAUAUCAUCUGCCCUUGUUUUUCCUUUUCCAAACUGGCUCUCCUUAGUUCCAUCUCCAGAUGACAUGGUCCUCAAACCCUUUGUGAUCUUGGUUCUCUACUCCAGUUCUUCAAUGUUUUUCUUGAAUGUGGCACCCAGAAUUAAAUAGAGCACCCCAGAUAAUGGCUGCCCAGCAGGAUAGACAUGUGUUUGUUAUAUAAUUCUUAGAGACUAUAGCUGACGUCACUGGUGCCCAGCCCAUAUCUUCUUGAGCCCUAGCAUUUUCGUGCAUGGUGGCCUGAUUUCUAACUGUCAGCACCUAAAUAUCUUUGCCUGAGGACUUUCUCUGUCGGCCAGAGCCUGCUUUGUGCACAGUCAGAAGUGCCAAGGAGUCAACACUCCCCAAAGGAGUCUUCAGCCAGUAACGAAAUGAAAGGUGGAGUAUAAAAACCCCAGCUCCCUCACCACUCAGCUGGGGUAGCCCUGAGAUUCAUGCUCUCCACCCUCUUCAGAGUUUCCCGGCAGCAUCAUGUUCCUGUUACCCUUCUCACUACUGACUUGAUGCUCAUCCUUUCUUGGCUCCUUCCCUGUGUCACUUCCCCCAUCCCAUAUGGGAGAAGGCUUCCUGGGUUCACCUUCCAAAGUAAUUACUGGUACUGGAAUUCUCAUCUCAAGUUUUGCCUUAGGGUCACCCAAACUAAGACAGUGCCUAAUGCUGCAUCAGCUUUCUUACCAGUCACAUGAUGCUGUUGUAUCCUUAAUGUCAGAUAAACUCCCAGCUUCUUUUUAUGUCAACUGCUACCAAGCCACACAUUCUCAGUGCUGUGCCUUUGUUAUUGAUUUUUUAACCUAAACUCAGAGUUUAUGUUUAUUCCUGUUAUACUCUUAAGUUUUUUUCCAUAUUCCAACCUAACAGAAUAACUUUGAAUAUUGAUUUGUUCUUUCGUUGUGUUAACUAUCCCUUCCAGACAUGAGUCAUAUGUAGAAAUCUGAUAAGCAUGUUUCCUGUGCCUUCAUUCACUUAAAACAAACAAACAAACAAACUUUGAACAAGGUAGGGUUAGGAAAAGAAUUCUAAACUCAAUUCCUCCCAUUGUUCAAUAAUCAAGAUUCUUUCAGUAAGAAUGCUUAUUGGUAGUGAUUCAAACUAUCUGCACCAGUUCAACCCAGAAUUUACAAAUUUGCCCAUAGGAAUAUCAGGCAAGCUCAGCUCAGUUGCUUUGCUAGAAUAGAGAAGAUCCACAAUUAUGUCAUGCCUCUGAUACAUGAGCCUAUAACCUUAUCAGAAAGGAAAUAUGGUUCAUUUGGCUUGUUAUUAGCAAUUUUAUUUUAACCACUAAGAACCUCUGAAUUCAUUUCUAAAACCCUCCAAUCUUCCUUUUAUUUUCUUUUAUUUAUAUAUAUAUAUUUUUAUUUUAUUUUACUUUAUUUUUGAGACAGAGUCUCACUCUGUCACCAGGCUGGAGUGCAGUGGCAUGAUCUCGGCUCACUGCAACCUCUGCAUCCCGGGUUCAAGCAAUUCCUCUGCCUCAGCCUCCCAAGUAGCUGGGAAUACAGGUGCACACCACCAUGCCCAGCUAAUUUUUGUAUUUUUAGUAGAGAUGGUGUUUCACCAUGUUGGCCAGGAUGGUCUCGAUCUCUUGACCUUGUGAUCUGCCCACCUCGGCCUCCCAAAGUGCUGGGAUUACAGGCGUGAGCCAUCACGCCUGGCCUCCAAUCUUCCUUUUAAUAAUUUGAUCUGGAAUUUUAUCAGGGAGCUAUGCAUGCAUGUCAGGGGAGAUCAAGUUUAUGGUUUCCAGAAUCUACACUUUCUUUUUGAGAAUGGGAACUUUUGCCAGUACAUUGUUUUCCUAUCCUCAUUUCCAUAAUUUCUCAACAACAGUAAGUAGUUUUAAGGUCACAUUUGCAAGUUUUUUGAGGAGCCUGGGAUGUAACUUUUCUGGAGACUUCAACCUACUUUAAAUGGUCACAUGCCCCCUGUGUCCCUCACUGCCUCCCUUCUGCUGAGCUCUCCCCAGUCCUGGGAAGGCUGAUUCUUUAGCUAGAGAACCCAGACCAGCCCUGUGGCCUCAUAUUUCCACAUCAGCCUUCUUGAAUCUGUGUUCCUCCCCCCUCACUUAUCUUUUUACAUCAAACACAUGGCUCAAAGCUUUUGAUAUUUGACUUGACUCUUCAGGACCCCAAGCUCCUCUGACUCAGCCCUCCACCCCCCACCCCUAACCCACGGCCCACUCUGCUUGAGGGCUCCCCAAAACCUCAAACUCCACCGUAAGCUCCCUGAGCAGCCACAAGGAUUUUGGGGUUUGGUUUGGUUUUGCCUCUUACUCCCUUUUCAUUUUCCCUGGCAUCAUUCACAUUCACCAAUCAGAUUCAUUUUUAUCAUCUCCUAUUCCUCAUGAGAAAUACAUUUUUUUAUAACCUUUUACCUUGAAUUCAAAUCCAUUUUUCCUCUGAAGCACCUGAGGUGAGGUGGGUAUCUCCUCUUGUCCUAAUCUUAUCCACAUGCCAUGAUAUGGUUUGUCUGUGUCCCUACCCAAAUCUCAUCUUGAAUCAUAGCUCCUGUAAUCCCCAUGUGUUGUGGGAAGAACCUGGUGGGAGGUAAUUGAAUCAGAGGGGUGGGUUUUUCCCAUGCUGUUCUUGUGAUAAUGAAUAAGUUUCAUGAGAUCUGAUGGUUUUAUAAAGGCGAGUUCCCCUGCAAAAUGCUCUCUUUCCUGCCACCAUGUAAGAUGUGACUUUGCUUCUCCUUUGCUUCCACCAUGAUUGUGAGUCCUCCCCAGCCAUGUGGAACUGUGAGUCAAUUAAACCUCUUUCCUUUAUAAAUUACCCAGUCUCAGAUAUGUCUUUAUUAGCAGCAUCAAAACAGACUAAUACACACCACCAGUUUUCCUCCUGCAUGUUCCUCAGUUCUGCUAGAACUGUAAAAAGAUGGAUUCCAUAGACUGGAGUCACCCUGAGGGCAGGGAUGGACCCCUAU